GCUACCGUUAGAGGACUUUCUUGCUUCUGUAAUCAAUUGUAGUGACUUUGAUUAGUUCAGAAUAAAAGCAGUAGUUCAUAGAGGACUCCACUGCUCAGUAGUGCAAUUCAAAGCAAAGAAUCCACUAUGGGCGGAAAGGUACUUUCAAAAGAUCUAUGAGAUAAAGUUGUGGAAAGGCACAAGUCAGGUGAUGGAUGUGAAAAGAUUUCAAAGGCUUUGUCCCUCGGAUCACUGUUAGGACCAUUAUUAAGAAAUGGAAGGUGCAUGGCACCACCCAGACCCUGUAUAGAUCAGUGUGUUCCUCCAAACUGGAUCACUGUUAGGACCAUUAUUAAGAAAUGGAAGGUGCAUGGCACCACCCAGACCCUGUAUAGAUCAGUGUGUUCCUCCAAACUGGAUCACUGUUAGGACCAUUAUUAAGAAAUGGAAGGUGCAUGGCACCACCCAGACCCUGUAUAGAUCAGUGUGUUCCUCCAAACUGGAUCACUGUUAGGACCAUUAUUAAGAAAUGGAAGGUGCAUGGCACCACUCAGACCCUGUAUAGAUCAGUGUGUUCCUCCAAACUGGAUCACUGUUAGGAACAUUAUUAAGAAAUGGAAGGUGCAUGGCACCACUCAGACCCUGUAUAGAUCAGUGUGUUCCUCCAAACUGGAUCACUGUUAGGACCAUUAUUAAGAAAUGGAAGGUGCAUGGCACCACUCAGACCCUGUAUAGAUCAGUGUGUUCCUCCAAACUGGAUCACUGUUAGGACCAUUAUUAAGAAAUGGAAGGUGCAUGGCACCACUCAGACCCUGUAUAGAUCAGUGUGUUCCUCCAAACUGGAUGACUGUUAGGACCAUUAUUAAGAAAUGGAAGGUGCAUGGCACCACUCAGACCCUGUAUAGAUCAGUGUGUUCCUCCAAACUGGAUGACUGUUAGGACCAUUAUUAAGAAAUGGAAGGUGCAUGGCACCACUCAGACCCUGUAUAGAUCAGUGUGUUCCUCCAAACUGGAUGACUGUUAGGACCAUUAUUAAGAAAUGGAAGGUGCAUGGCACCACUCAGACCCUGUAUAGAUCAGUGUGUUCCUCCAAACUGGAUGACUGUUAGGACCAUUAUUAAGAAAUGGAAGGUGCAUGGCACCACUCAGACCCUGUAUAGAUCAGUGUGUUCCUCCAAACUGGAUCACUGUUAGGACCAUUAUUAAGAAAUGGAAGGUGCAUGGCACCACUCAGACCCUGUAUAGAUCAGUGUGUUCCUCCAAACUGGAUGACCGGGCAAGGAGACUACCAGGAAGACGAAGGUGACUUUGAAGGAGCUUCCAGACUUUAUGGCAAAGACUGGUCAAUGUGUGUAUGUGACCACAAUAUCACAAGCUCUCCACAAAUCUGGGGUCUAUGGGAGGGUGGCAAGAAAAAAGCACUCCUCAAAAAAGGCCACAUAAUGUCUUGUUUGAGCUUUGCCAAAAAGCACAUUGUAGAUUCCGAGGCCAAGUGGCAAAAGGUGCUGUGGUCAGAUGAGACCAAAAUUGAACUUUUUGGACUAAAUCCAAAACGAUAUGUCUGGCGAAAACCCAAUACAUCUUUCCACCCAAAGAACACCAUGCCUACAGUAAAGCACGGCGGUGGCAGCAUCCUGUUGUUGAGGCGUUUCUCGUCAGCAGGGACUGGAGCGCUUGCACUGGAGAUAGAUUCUUGAGGAGAACCUGCAGCCCUCUGCCAGGAAGUUGAAAAUGGGAAGAUGGUUCACGCUUCAACAUGACAAUGAGCCAAAGCAACAGUACGGUGGCUGAAGGACAACAAGGUGAAUGUCCUUGAGUGAACUAGUCAGAGUGUAACAGUAUAACUUUAGACCGUCCCCUCGCCCAUACCCGGGCACGAACCAGGGACCCUCUGCACACAUCAACAACAGUCACCCACGAAGCAUUGUUACCCAUUGCUCCACAAAAGCCGCCAACACCCACCCAUAGGCGCUCCAGCGGGUAUAUUUUCACUGGUCAUCCCCAAAGCCAACACUUACUUUGGCCGCCUUUCCUUCCAGUUCUCUGCUGCCAAUGACUGGAACGAAUUGUAAAAAUCACUGAAGCUGGAGACUUAUAUCUCCCUCACUAGUUUUAAGCAUCAGCUGUCAGAGCAGCUUUCCGAUCACUGUACCUGUACACAGCCAUCUGUAAAUAGCACACCCAACUACCUCAUCCCCAUAUUAUUAUUUACCCUCUUGCUCUUUUGCACCCCAGUAUCUCUACUUGCACAUCAUCAUCUGCACAUCUAUCACUCCAGUGUUAAUGCUAAAUUGUAAUUAUUUCACCUCUAUGGCCUAUUUAUUGCCUUACCUCCCUUCUCUUCUACAUUUGCACACACUGUACAUAUAUUUUUCUAUUGUGUUAUUGACUGUAUGUUUGCUUGUGUAACUCUGUUGUUUUUGUCACAGUGCUUUGCUUUAUCUUGGCCAGGUCGCAGUUGUAAAUGAACUUGUUCUCAACUGGCCUACCUGGUUAAAUAAAGGUGAAAUAAAAUAAAUAAAAAAUAAAGAGUGCUUGGUUGCAAAUGUGACGUGACUAAGUCCAAUUGCUCUUGCGACUCAUUAUCUGAAGUGCCUAGAGAGGAAUAGUAACUUUUUUACUAUGUUUGGUAAACGUAUAAUACUUCACUAACCUUUUGUUGAUUGCUUCCAUUUUCUAGCCUGGCCUCUGUUUUUCAUAUGGGGCUCCCGAGUGGCGAAGCAGUCUAAGGCACUGCAUCUCAGUGCUAUAGGUGUCACUACAAUCCCUGGUUCGAAUCCAGGCUGUAUCACAUCUGGCUGUGACCGGGAGUCCCAUAGGGCUGUGCACG
Long non-coding RNA from Oncorhynchus keta (chum salmon), 2809 nucleotides. RefSeq lists it as uncharacterized. NCBI's taxonomy places the organism in Eukaryota, Metazoa, Chordata, Actinopteri, Salmoniformes, Salmonidae. The transcript has 3 exons. The record is from RefSeq and is a predicted model, not a curated record.